ACUAAUUAGCUCCCCUGCCGCAGCUCGCCUGCCAGGUGGUUUUCUUAAUUAGUUAAUUGGUUGCAUCUGGUGCGUUUCACUUAAAAGGGAACCGGACAGUACAUUUGUUUGUGUACUGUUUUGAGGUCUGUUGUGACUUAUUUAACAUCUCUUCCAGUUUCACAGGUUAAAGACUUUUUGAAGUAACGAGGAGCAUCUCAACUGAACCUGAUGUCUAUCAUGGAUAUUUAACUGCAGUUCUGUGAGUAUCCCAACUUUACCAUGAAGCAUAACUGCAAACUGUAAGUCAUUCAUUUCUCAUUACUCUUGGGCAGUCACAUUGAUGUAUUUUGGCUUCCUGGUGAGUUAACCUGUUACCUGAAGGUUGAUCUGCAUAGUAAGGAUGUUUUAUUGGUUCAUGGGUUACUUAGUUUGGUUUAUGUUGGUUUUAAUGAUUUGUUAAAAUGGUUACAGGCUCCAAGUUAUUGUUGUAAGCUGGAGUAAUGGGUUGGGUUCUGAUAUCUUCAGUCUUCUUUCAUUCUACUCUCCUGAGCUCUGCAUCUUCAUUACAUGAGUGUUGCUUUACUGAUGAAGGAGUGGUCUGAUUGAGCAGAGGUGCAUGCUGGGAUACAGAGCUGUCUGAAGUCUACAGGUCUGUAGACACGCCCCCUCAGGGGAAACCGAGUGUUUGGGAUACUGUCGUGACGUCAGUUACAUGGACUGGAAAGUUCUUAAAGAUGGAGACAGGGAUUCAGAAGGAGAAACACCAGGGGGAGAUGAGGGGGCUCCUCAUCUCAACAACUAAAACACAACUUCAGUCUGACACAGAGAACCAUGAAACACAUUCAACAGUCCCCUCGAGGCAUCGUGACUCCUCAGGAACGGUUUCAUUUCCAAGAAGAUCUUAUUUGGGGCCAUCCCCAUAUGGAUCCUGCUCCUCAAGAGCCAACCCCCUCCACUGGGUGGUCUUCUGAACAGAUGACCUCCUUCCUGUCCUCAGGCUGACUAAAGCUGCACCGUUUGCAUCUGUGACGGCCCCUCAUUCAGGAAACCACUGGACUACAAAGACAUGACUUCAGAGAUGUUGAAUCAACCUGGGACACACUGGAGACGCCAAGCAUAAUCCAACACCAAUGUGGGACGCCACUGAAGAAUGUUGGACAUAAUUCACGUCUCUGGAGACGUUGGUUGUUCUGUUCUGGGUGCCCUGGCAGGAGAGCUGGGGGGGGGGGAUGAUGGAAUGUUAUUUGGCAUUAGGUUUUUACCCUGCAUGAAUGUUUGGCCUUCUAUGGCUCAGUGGUUUGUGCGUUUGGGUUUGACAUGAGAUGGAUGAUUUUUGUGCAUCGCUAGGGUUCUACUGUGUGUGUGUGUCUCCCACUCACACCUGGCAUGGGGUUCUACGUGCCUGUCCUGGGUUCUGUGUGUGUGUGUGUGUGUGUGUCCGGCUUGCUUUGACAGUGAUAAUGUGCAUACGGGGGUCUGUGUGAUUGGCUUGGGAUAUUGGAAUGGUCAACUAAAUCAUACCUGAUGGACGGCCACACGUUUACUUAAGGGCCUCCAGUGGACAUGAAGAGCCCUGAGCGACGCUCCGGAGCGAGAUCCAACACACUGGGCAGGAAGGAGAGUAUCCAACUCGAGUGUAAAAGGAUGCAAGCGGCGUGUUCAGAUCAGUGACUUCAAACUAGGACUACACUAAUCAGGAUCAAUGGAGGAUGGACACCAAAAGGAAUUCCACAAGGAGUCUGACGUGGGAAAGGGACCUAAAUGGAUGUUCAAGAUGACCUUCAGACCUGUAAUGAGACGGCUCUUCCUACCUGGCUGGAUUGAUGGAGAGCCCUGUGGAUCUUGUCUUGCUCUCAGUUGCACGUCUUCUCAGGCUGAACUGUAUUUGUUUCGGACAGGACUAGCUGAACGAUUGGUUCCCUUAAAUCAGAACCAGAACUCAGAAUCAGAACUCCAGCUAGUGCGCUCUUCGAGCAGAAGUUGUGCUAUUCAGCUGAGGAGGUAAGGAAACCUUCACUGGGGCUUCAAAGUGUAAAGAGGAGAAUGUUUCAAAGUGUUCCAUGGUACUCUGAUGAAGACCGUUGUUGUGUUCCACUGGCUGAGAGGAAGAACCCACACAUCUUCCUCUGGGCUUUCUCCUCUGAGAAUCCUGGCGCCAUCUUGAAGGAUAUUCCAGCUCAUGCAACUGAUGUCAUGACAGAUUCUCAACACUUGGUUUCUCCUGAGGGGCGUGUCUAUGGAACUGAAGACUUCAGACAGCACUGUAUCCCAGCAUGCAUCUCUGCUCACUCAGACCACACCCCCAUGAGUAGGAUGCAACACUCUAGUGAUAGAGAUGUAGAGUUUUAUAAGUAAUGAGGGAGCAGACUAAGGUGAUUAGAACACAAUGGAAUGUCAAGUCUGUAAAUCUUUAAACCAUGAAGAUGGUUGAUAGUUCAGGAAUGGUUGGCUGGCUGGCAUGAUUUGCUGUUGGUGAUGAGGCGGUCAGGGUGAUGUUGCAGGGCUAUGGUCGGCUCUCUGUGAGCUCAACGUUUAGAUUUGCUCUGUAUGGUUUGUACCCUGAAUAAUCUAGAUAAUUGUAAAAUGUAGACACGGUUUUGUAUUGAAUGUUUUUAGGUUUAAAGUUGUUGUGGGACGUACAUGGUAGUUUGGUUCUUCGUAUGGUUUUGAGUGAUAUAAGUUGUACACACUGGGUGCAUAAUAAUGUAAAGGUACACUGAAUAGUAGUAAUGACCAACAGCAACAAACAGAUCUCCUCAAGGUAAGUCUGUUGGCUGUGUUUUAAUGAAGACCAUCGCUGGACCUCAGGAUCUUCCUCCGUUCAGCUCAAGGUGAGGUGCUGGUUCUGUUUUUUCUUUGGUUGGUUCCGGCCGGAAUGUUCGGAUUCCAGUCGGACGGUUUGUGCUUCCCGCCAUGGAAGGUUCUGAGUGCGGUCACUUGAUUUAGUCCCAAUGGUUAGCAUAGAACAUUGUAGUCUUGACAACCAUGAGAAACCACCUGGCAGUUAGUUGGACGGGAGUCCCCUGAGGGAAUCUGGCGGAUCAUUCUUGAUUGUAUUUGCGUAACCUCGAGCCGUUGCCAACGGAAACUAUUUUGGUUUUUACUAACUCUAUUGUCGGUUUCCAUUGGGAAUUGUUGCCCCUAUCUUAAACAACUUAAGUUUGAUAUUAAUUACAUACUGACGCGUACGUCGUACAAUAUGUUGAUAAUUUCCGAUGGUUGCGCCAUACUUUUAAUCACGAUGACGUUGCGGGACUCUCACUGCGUACAAAACAGCGUUCUACUUGCGUGCCCAUUUUUGACAUCGGAAGGCUGAAAAUCAUUUCAAGGUGGAAGAUAAUUUGACAUUUCUUCAACGGAACCCAGCACCUGAAUAUGGCUGAGUAUAUUUGAUUUAAUAUCGAUACUGCUUAGUGUUCUUUGUUACUUCAGCUUUUGUACGUUCCAAAUAUCUGCUGUCAUUAAUUGCCACAGAAGUUAAACCCUACCCAAUGGAAUGACGUUAAACAACGACUUUGGUGCAGAGUUACCGACUGGAUAAUAUCAAAGCUAAAAUAAUGGCCGUAAUUCCCACAUCUUACAGUAGAAGAUACUCUAGAACUGUACAAGGUUAACAAGGUAACAUGUAGUUUGUCCCAAGGUGUCUGCCUCCUCACCCAGAGCCAGACCUCCACCUCCUCGCCCAGAGCCAGACCUCCACCUCCUCACCCAGAGCCAGACCUCCACCUCCUGUCAGAAGUCCUCCAGAACAGCUGAAAGGCGAGGCUGAGAGGCUGGGGACCGGAGGCUUGUGGUGCCAGGGUGGACCGGAGACUGAGGCUGGAGACCAGGGGCCUGCAGCACCGGACCAGAGGGUGAUUUACUGCUGAGACCAACUGUGUUUGUAACCAGACCAGGAAUCCAUGGCUGAAGGAGCUGAUGGAGGAGCCGUGCUGAAGGAGCUGAUGGAGGAGCCGCGCUGAAGGCCCUGCCUGGUGGAGGAGCUGGUGGAGGCCCUGCCUGGUGAAGGACGUCUGUCGUGGGACCAGGACUCUGUCUGAGGAGAGCUGCUGGAGGAGCAGAGACGCUGGAGGACGACUAGGAAUCGACCAACAAGGAUUCCUCAACGUGUUUCUGGAGCGGAGGCGAGCUGGUAGAGGAGCCAUGAAUCUGGAGGAUGACCAUCACUCUACCACCAAGGAUUACUUUAGGGCCAGACUUGCGCUGUUUGUUCCAGAUCAGGACUCUGGCUGAGGGGAGCUGAUGGAGGAGGCAAGACUCUGGAGGACGACAUCACUCCACCAACCAGGAUCCUCACCAGGAAUCUGGAGGACUGAUGGAGAAGCCGUACAUCUGGAAGGCAAAUCCUGAGGACCACCAGGACUCUACCAUCAAGGAUUCCUCGUAAGUUUGCAUUAUCUGGACAUAGUGGACUAGACACACCUGAGCUGAACCUCACCUGAUCCUGUGUGGUCGGGGGUAGACACAUCUGAGCUAAACCCGCCCUGAUCCUGACAUCCUGCUGGUCCCGUCUCCUCAGUUCAUCUGAGCCUCGUCCUCCAGAAGACCUGCUGAGCUCAGCUGUCUGAGGCUGAUGGAUCAAUGUGGGAGUGAUCUUCUUGACCCCACAUGUAACCGUGUGCUUCCACACGCCUUUCCCUCACGUCUGUCACUAACCUCACUACUUCACUACUCUCUACUGCUUCCUCUUUUCUUCCUUCUCUGUGGUUCGAACCUUUACACGGAAGGCGCGUCUUCCUGCCCUCAGAGGGUUUAGCGUUAGGGUUGAGAGUCAGGGUUUAGAGUCAGGGACAGAGCUGGUCAGGGAGGACUGCUUUAACACAAACCUCUUCACUUGCUUUCAGAAUGGUGGUGACAUUUUGAAAAGAUUCAUUUGGGAAAAUGUUUUCCUCUGGUUUCUGUGUGUUGAAUUGUAUUCAACUUGUAUUCAACCUCUGUCAAGUGUUUUUGUUUCUAUAUUAAAAGCCCACAUUGACUUCUACAUAUUUGGUGCGGU
This is a long non-coding RNA of Gadus macrocephalus (Pacific cod), 4978 nucleotides long. RefSeq lists it as uncharacterized. NCBI's taxonomy places the organism in Eukaryota, Metazoa, Chordata, Actinopteri, Gadiformes, Gadidae. The transcript has 9 exons. The record is from RefSeq and is a predicted model, not a curated record.